This 468-nucleotide ribosomal RNA is filed under the name uncultured bacterium. RNAcentral's name for it is "partial 16S ribosomal RNA". It matches the Rfam family "Bacterial small subunit ribosomal RNA", at positions 28 to 507 of the family's 1533-position model. The record is from RNAcentral.
GACGAACGCUGGCGGCGUGCUUAACACAUGCAAGUCGAACGGAAAGGCCCUGCGUUUGUGGGGUGCUCGAUUGGCGAACGGGUGAGUAACACGUGAGUAACCUGUCCUUGACUGUGGGAGAACUUCAGGAAACUGGGGCUAAUACCGGAUAGGAGCUCCUGCUGCAUGGUGGGGGUUGGAAAGUUUCGGCGGUUGGGGCUGGACUCGCGGCUUAUCAGCUUGUUGGUGGGGUAGUGGCUUACCAAGGGUUUGACGGGUAGCCCGCCUGAGAGGGUGACCGGCCACAAUGGGACUGAGAGACGGACCAGAAGCCUACGGGAGGCAGCAGUGGGGAAUAUUGCAGAGUGGGCGGAAGCCUGAUGCAGCAACGCUGCGUGCGGGAUGACGGCCUUCGAGUUGUAAACCGCUUUGGCAUGUGACGUAGCGUGCGUGACGGUAAUGAGUAAGGAAGCACCGGCUAACUACGUG